RNAcentral lists this ribosomal RNA (433 nucleotides) under uncultured bacterium. RNAcentral describes it as "partial 16S ribosomal RNA". It matches the Rfam family "Bacterial small subunit ribosomal RNA", at positions 29 to 507 of the family's 1533-position model. The record is from RNAcentral.
AACGAACGCUGGCGGCAUGCCUAACACAUGCAAGUCGAACGAGACCUUCGGGUUUGGUGGCGCACGGGGGCGUAACGCGUGGGAACCUGCCCUUAGGUUCGGAAUAACUCUCCGAGAGAGGUUUUAAUACCGGGUAAUGUCAUCGGACCAAAGAUUUUUGGCCUUUGGAUGGGCCCGCGUUGGAUUGGCUAGGUGGUAGGGUAAAAGCGUACCACGGGUAUGAUCCAUAGCUGGUCUGCGAGGAUGAUCAGGCACACUGGGACUGUGACACGGCCCAGACUCCUGCGGCAGGGAGCAGUAUUGAAUAUUGGGCGAUGGGCGGAAGCCUGGUCCCGCCGUGCCGCGUGAGUGAUGACGGGCUUUGGAUUGUAAAGCCCUUUUACCCGGGAUGAUAAUGACAGUACCGGGAGAAGAAGCUCCGGCUAACUACGUG